RNAcentral lists this long non-coding RNA (5842 nucleotides) under Homo sapiens (human). RNAcentral's name for it is "non-protein coding lnc-ZNF26-12:3". Lineage: Eukaryota; Metazoa; Chordata; Mammalia; Primates; Hominidae. The record is from RNAcentral.
GAGGAGCCCGGCUCUGGACACGGCCGUCAGGAAGCUCAGAGGCUGCAGCACCGCUUCUGCGUUGAUUUCCGCUUGACUUUUACUCUUUUCUUGGGUUAAAAAUCAAACGCCGACCCGAGGCGUCAGAGAUGGGCGGUCGUUAGGCGCAGUGGCGGCCCCCGGAUGUUUGCGAUGGGACGGCGGGCUCGGAACGUGUGGACGUGGGCUUUGGAGACAGCGUCUCACCCUGUCGCCCAGGCUGGAGUGCAACGGCACAAUCUCGGCUCACUGCAACCUCCACCUCCAGGGUUCAAGCAAUUCCCCUGCCUCAGCUUCCCAAGUAGCUGGGAUUACAGGCACACACCACCACACCUGGCUAAUUUUUUGCAUCUUUGGUAGAGACGGGGUUUCACCAUGUUGGCCAGGCUGGUCUUGAUCUCCUGACCUCGUGAUCCAUCUGCCUUGGCCUCCCAAAGUACUGGGAUUACAGGCGUUAGCCACCGCGCCCUGCCUCACUAGUCUUUUCAAGAAAGAAGCUUUUAGAUGUGGAUUUAUUAUCUGUUAAUUCUCAUUUUCAUCUUCAUUAUUUCCUUUUUGCUACUUUUAUUUGGAUAUUUUCUAGGAUUCUUCCUAAUCUCUUGGGUUGGAUGCUUAACACUUACAUUUCCAUUGAUCCUGUUUUCCUAAUAGAGGCAUUUGGGGUAAUGCAUUUUCCAGUAAGUGCCACUUUAGAUUAUAUCCCAUUUUGUGUGGUGUCCUAUAUCAGUUAAACCCACCGUAUUCAUUGUAUAAAUCAAAUUUUUCAUAUACUUACUGUAUUAGUCCAUUUUCACGCUGCUGAUAAAGACAUACCCAAGACUGAGUAAUUUAUAAAGUAAAAGAGGUUUAAUGGACUCACAGUUCCAUGUGGCUGGGGAGGCCUCAUAAUCAUGGUGGGUGAAAGGCACUUCUGACAUGCUGGUGGCAAGAGAGAAUCAGAGCACCAAGCAAAAAGGAAACCCCUUGUCAAAUCACCAGAUCUCAUGAGACUUAUUCACUACCAUGAGAACAGUAUCAGGGAAACCACUCCCAAGAUUCAGUUAUCUCCCACUGGGUCCCUCCCACAAUAUGUGGGAAUUGUGGGAGCUGCAAUUCAAGAUGAGAUUUGGGUGGGGACAUAGCCAAAACAAGUUAUCUCCCACCAGGUCCCUCCCACAUGUGGGAAUUAAGGGAGCUGCAAUUCAAGAAGAGAUUUGGGUGGGGACACAGCCAAACCAGAUCACUUACCAAUUAUGUGCUGUCCUGCUCUAUCAAUUCCUAAGAAAAGUGUGCAAAAAUUUCCAAAUGGUAAUGUGGAUUUGUAGUUUAUUCCUCUAAUUGUCCUAUUUUGUAUAAUACAUUCUUUGGUCUAUGUUAAUUUGAAAUUUUGAACAUAGAAUCAUUAUAUCUUCAUAGAAAAUUGUACUUUUAUCCUUAUAUAAUGACCCUUUUUAUUCCUAACGAUGGUUUCCCUAAAGCUUAUGUUACCCAAUUAAUGUUUGCCAGGUAUAUAUUUUUCCACUCAUACUCACUUUUUAUAACAUUUUUAUGCAUUUAUUUUAUAAACAUAUACAUGGAAUAUUUUAAAGCAUAAUGCGACAUUCUGCUUUUAAACCGAUGAGUUUAUAUGAUUUGUGAUUAUUGAUACAGUUGGCUGGGUGCGGUGGCUCACGCCUGUAAUCCCAGCAUUUUGGGAAGCCGAGGUGGGCAGAUUACUAGGUCAGGAGAUCGAGACCAUCCUGGCUAACAUGGUGAACCCCCAUCUCUACUAAAAAUACAAAAAAUUAGCCGGGUGUGGUGGUGGGUGCCUAAAGAUUAUUGAUACAGUUAUGUUUAUUUCUAUCAUUUUACUUUUUGCUUUCCAUUGGCCUUGUGUUUUUUGUCCCUUAUUAUUUUCUAUCUUCUUUUGGAUUUAAUCAAGCUUUCUCACUUCCAUUUUCAAUAUCUAUUCUUUAAGUGUUAAUGUUAAGGUGUUUGCUAUGUAUACAAGACUUAACAAAGUCUAAAGGUAAUCACUUAAUCUGCUCUCUCCAUAACCAACAGAGAGGCAUCCCAAUUUUUUUUUUUUUUUUGAGGCAGAGUUUUGCUCUUCUUGCCCAGGCUGGAGUGCGAUGGCGCGAUCUCAACUCACUGCAACCUCUUCCUCCCAGGUUCAAGCAUUUCUCCUGCCUCAGCCUCCUGAGUAGCUGGGAUGACAGGUGCCUGACACCACGCCCAGCUAAUUUUUGUAUUUUUAGUAGAGACUGGGGUUUCUCCAUGUUGGUCGGGCUGGUCUCGAACUCCUGACCUCAGGUGAUCCACCAGCCUCGGCCUCCCAAAGUGCUGGGAUUACAGGUGUGAGCCACCACGCCUGGCUCCAAUUUUUUUUUUUUUUUUUUUGAGACAGAGUUUUCACUCUUGUUGCCCAGGCUGGAAUGCAGUGGCACAGUCUUGGCUCACUACAACUUCCACCUCCCAGGUUCAAGCGAUUCUCCUGCCUCAGCCUCCCAAGUAGCUGGAAUUACACACACCCACCACCACAGCUGGCUAAUUUUUUGUAUUUAGUAGAGAGAGGGUUUCACCAUGUUGGUCUGGCUGGUCUGGAAUUCCUGACCUCAGGUGAUCUGUCUGCCUUGGCCUCCCAAAGUGCUGGGAUUACAGGCGUGAGCCACUGCACCCAGCGUCCCAACAUUUUUAUCUCUGAUCAUCCUGAACACAUACCAUGUUACUCACUGUUUUAGUUCUGCGUUAUUUUUGUUGCAUAACCAGUAACAUAACAUUAUUAUUGUUAGUUUACAUAGCCAAUACUAGUUUAGGUUCACAUGUAUUACCUCUUGGCUUCACCCACUACUUUUCUCUGAUGGCAAUCUUUGGAAGUUCCUUCAUUGAGGGUUUAUUAGUGGUAAACUCUUUAUCUUUGCUGUGGUGCAGUGUCUAGAAUUUUUGUUAAGUGAAGGUUUUACAUUUAAAUCUUCAUCUAUUAAGUUUGAAUAUGGGAUGAGUUAUGGAUUGAGGUUCAUUUGUUUUGUAUAUUGACUUUCAAUUGUUGCAGCACCAUUUUUUUAAACCACUAUUUUCAUUGAUUUGCCCUUGCAACUUUGUCAAAAAUCAAUUGACCAUAUACACGAAGGUCUAUUUAUGUAUUCUCAAUUAUGGUCCAUGAUCUAUGUGUUUAUCCUUUCUCUGACACAAUGUUUAGAUUGCUGUAUCUUUACAGUAAGUUUCGAAGUCAGGGAGUGCGAGUCUUCCAGCUCUGUUCCUCUUUGACAAAAGAUGUUUUGGCUAUUCUAGUUUCUUCUGCUUUUCCAAAUAAAUUUGAUUAACUUGUUAAUGUCUACAAAAACUCCUGCUGGAAUUUCCAUUGGGAUCGCAAUAAAUUUAUAGGUAAAUCUAGAGAGAACUGACAUUCUACUAUUUAUUGUUCCAAACCACAAAUAUGAUACAUAUUUCCAUUUAUUUAGGAUUUGGAUUUCCCUUAUUUCUCUCAUAAGCGUUUUGACGUUUUCAACAUACAGAUCUUUUAUAACAACACUUACCCACUUCCCACCAUUCUACCCCCAUUCCUAAACCUUGGCAACACAAGAAUCUGUCCUCCAUUAAAAAUGUUAUGAUUUCAGAAAUGUUAUAUAAAUGGAAUAAUACAAUAUGCAACCUUAUGGGACUGAUUUCUUGCAUUUGGUGUACUUCUCUAGAGAUUAAUCCAAGUUUUUGUGUGUAUCAGUAGUCCAUUUAUUUUCCUGAAUAGCAUUCCAUAUGUGUGUGCCACAAUUUGUUUAACCAUUUACCUUAUUCUCAGUUUUUGGCUGUUCAAAUAAACUGAUAUUAAUCUGUGUACAGGUUUUGGUGAGAAAAUAUAUUUAUCUGGGAUAAAUCCCCAAAAGUGCAAUUGCUAGGUUAUAUGGUAAUUUGAUGUUUAAUUCAUAAGAAACUGCCAAACUGUUUUCUAGAAUUGCUGUACCAUUUUCCACUCCCACUGGUAAUGUAUUAGUGAUACAGCUUCUAUGUACCCUCAACAUUUGAUGGUGUCACUAUUUUUUUUUUUUUUUUUUUUAGACAGAGUCUUGCUCUGUUGCCCAGGCUGGAGUGCAAUGGCGUGUCUUGGCUCACUGCAACCUCCGCCUCCAGGUACAAGCAGUUCUCUGCCUCAGCCUCCCGAGUAGCUGGGAUUACAGGUGCGCACCACCAUGCCUGGCUAAUUUUUGUAUUUUUAGUAGAGAUGGAGUUUCACCAUCUUGGCCAGGCUGGUCUCGAACUCCUGACCGCGUGAUCCACCCGCCUCAGCCUCCCAAAGUGCUGGGCUUACAAGCAUGAGCCACUGCACCCAGCCGCUGUCACUAUUUCUUUUCUUUUUUGAGACGGAGUCACGCUCUGUCGCCCAGGCUGGGGUGCAGGGACACAAUCUCGGUUCACUGUAAGCUCCACCUCCCAGGUUCACACCAACCUCCUGCCUCAGACUAUUUUUUACUUAAGCCAUCUUGAUAUCUUGAUAGGUGUGUAGUAGCACUUCAUUGUGAUUUGAAUUUGCGUUUCCCAAAUCACUAAUGAUAGUGAAUGUUUUUUCAUGUGCUUGUCAUCUGUAUGUUUUUCUCAGUGAAAUAUCUGUUAAUGUCUACUGCCCAUUUUAUAAUGUUUUUUUUUUCUUUUUUUUGGGAUGGAGUUUUGCUCUGUCACCCAGGCUGGAGUGCAAUGGCACAGUCUCGGCUCACUGCAAUCUCCAACUCCUGGAUUCAAACGAUUCUCCUGCCUCAGCCUCCCGAGUAGCUGGAAUUACAGGUGCAUGCCACCACACCUAGCUAAUUUUUAUAUUUUUAGUAUAGACGGGGUUUCACCAUGUUGGCCAGGAUGGUCUCAAUCUCUUGACCUCGUGAUCUGCCCACCUCGGCCUCCCAAAGUGCUGGGAUUACAGGUGUGAGCUACUGCGCCUGGCCUGCUGUACAGUUUUAAAGAUGAAUUACAUUGAUGUAUUUUGAAAUAUUCAACUUACCCUUACAUACGUGGAAUAAAUCCCACUUGGUCAUGGUGCAUACUUCUUAUAUAUUUUGAAUUUUGUUUUCAAAUAUUUUGUUGAGGAUUUUCACAUGUAAGUUCAUGACAGAUAUUGGCCUGUAGUUGUGUGUGUGUGCACACGUGUGCAUGCAGUCAUGCUGUCUUCGGUUUGUUAUCAGGGUAGUGUAAUACUGGCCUCAUAAAAUGAGUUGAGAGAUAUAUUCCCCCUCUUCUAUUUUUCUGGAAUAUCAUGUAAAGCUGAUAUAAAUUAUUCUUUAAAUGACUGGUACAGUUCUCCAUCUGGGCCUAGAGAUUUCUGUUUGGGUAGAUCAUUAGUAGUUCAAUUUCUUUACUGGAUAUAGGGCUUUUCGAUACUCAACUUCAUCAUGGGUGAGUUUUGGUAGUUUGUGGUUUUUAAGAAAUUAAUCCAUUUCUUCCAAGCUGUUGAAUUUAUAAGUGUGAAGUUGUUAGUAGAGAUCCUUUUUUAUUUUUGAUGUUGGCAAGGUCUGUAAUAAAGUAUUUCAUUUUUAAUACUGGUGAUUUGUAUCUUUUUAUUUCUGUCAAUGUUGCUAUAAGUUAAUCAUUUUUGUUAAUUUUUUUAAGAAUGAGCUUUAGUUGUCCUAUUUUCAAUCACUGACUUCAGUUCUUUAUCAUUUUCUUCCUUGCACUUGUUUUGGAUUUAUUUUGCACUUGUUUUUCUAGUUUCCUGAGGUAGAAACUUAAAUUACUGAUUUAAAAAUCUUUCCUUAUUUCUCAUGUACACGUUAGAAGGGUAAAAUCUACUUUUGUGUGUGUGUGUGUGUGUGUGUGUGUUUUUGAGACAGAGUCUUGCUCUGUCCCCCAGUCUGGAGUGCAGUGGCGCUAUCUCGGCUCACUGCAA